RNAcentral lists this ribosomal RNA (216 nucleotides) under uncultured bacterium. RNAcentral describes it as "partial 16S ribosomal RNA". It matches the Rfam family "Bacterial small subunit ribosomal RNA", at positions 28 to 239 of the family's 1533-position model. The record is from RNAcentral.
GAUGAACGCUAGCGGCAGGCUUAAUACAUGCAAGUCGAGGGGCAGCAGGGGAUAGCAAUAUUCGCUGGCGACCGGCGCACGGGUGCGUAACACGUAUACAAUCUGCCUUUAACAGGGGGGAUAGCCUUUCGAAAGAGAGAUUAAUACCCCAUAAUAGAAGAUUCGGCAUCGUAAUUUUUUUGAAAGCUCCGGCGGUUAGAGAUGAGUAUGCGUCUG